GAUGAACGCUGGCGGCGUGCUUAACACAUGCAAGUCGAGCGAGAAGUUUUGAAAAGAUUCUUCGGAUGAAAUUUAAAAUGGAAAGCGGCGGACGGGUGAGUAACGCGUAGGCAACCUGCCCCAUACAAAGGGAUAGCAUUUGGAAACGAAUAUUAAUACCUUAUGAAACUUAACUAGUGCAUGCUAGGUAGGUCAAAGAUUUAUCGGUGUGGGAUGGGCCUGCGUCUGAUUAGCUAGUUGGUGAGGUAACGGCUCACCAAGGCGACGAUCAGUAGCCGACCUGAGAGGGUGAACGGCCACAUUGGAACUGAGACACGGUCCAAACUCCUACGGGAGGCAGCAGUGGGGAAUAUUGCACAAUGGGGGAAACCCUGAUGCAGCAACGCCGCGUGAACGAUGAAGGCCUUUGGGUCGUAAAGUUCUGUUCUAGGUGAUGAAAACUGACAGUAACCUAGGAGAAAGCCCCGGCUAACUCCGUG
This 479-nucleotide ribosomal RNA is filed under the name uncultured bacterium. RNAcentral describes it as "partial 16S ribosomal RNA". It matches the Rfam family "Bacterial small subunit ribosomal RNA", at positions 28 to 507 of the family's 1533-position model. The record is from RNAcentral.